UACGUAGGGGGCAAGCGUUGUCCGGAAUCAUUGGGCGUAAAGGGCGCGUAGGCGGCUUUUCAAGUGACGGGUGAAAUCCCUCGGCUUAACCGAGGAACUGCCUGUCAGACUGGAAGGCUUGAGACCGGGAGAGGUGAGUGGAGUUCCCAGUGUAGCGGUGAAAUGCGUAGAUAUUGGGAGGAACACCAGUGGCGAAGGCGGCUCACUGGGUCUCUUCUGACGCUGAGGCACGAAAGCUAGGGUAGCGAACGGG
Molecule: ribosomal RNA, 253 nt
Filed under: uncultured bacterium
Lineage: Bacteria
Description: partial 16S ribosomal RNA
Rfam family: Bacterial small subunit ribosomal RNA
Source: RNAcentral